GAUGAACGCUGGCGGCAUGCCUAAUACAUGCAAGUCGAACGAGAGGAAGGACAGCUUGCUUUCCUGAAUCUAGUGGCGAACGGGUGAGUAACACGUAGGUAACCUGCCCAUGUGCCUAGGAUAACUUCUGGAAACGGAUGCUAAAACCGGAUAGGUAGCAGACAAGCAUUUGACUGCGAUUAACGUGGCCUUGGCCACGAACUUGGCUGGACCUGCGGUGCAUUAGCUGGUUGGUGAGGUAAAGGCCCACCAAGGCGACGAUGCAUAGCCGGCCUGAGAGGGAGGACGGCCACAUUGGGACUGAGACACGGCCAAAACUCCUACGGGAGGCAGCAGUAGGGAAUUUUCGUCAAUGGGGGGAACCCUGAACGAGCAAUGCCGCGUGAGUGAGGAAGGUCUUCGGAUCGUAAAGCUCUGUUGUAAGAGAAAAACGGCACUCAUAGGGAAUGAUGAGUGGGUGAUGGUAUCUUACCAGAAAGUCACGGCUAACUACGUGCCAGCCGCCGCAGUAA
This 512-nucleotide ribosomal RNA is filed under the name uncultured bacterium. RNAcentral describes it as "partial 16S ribosomal RNA". It matches the Rfam family "Bacterial small subunit ribosomal RNA", at positions 28 to 523 of the family's 1533-position model. The record is from RNAcentral.